Molecule: ribosomal RNA, 441 nt
Filed under: uncultured bacterium
Lineage: Bacteria
Description: partial 16S ribosomal RNA
Rfam family: Bacterial small subunit ribosomal RNA
Source: RNAcentral
CCUACGGGAGACAGCAGUGGGGAAUAUUGCACAAUGGGCGACAUCCUGAUGCAGCAACGCCGCGUGAAGGCAGACGGCCUUCGUGUCGUAAACUUCUGUCCUUGGGGAAGAAGAACUGACGGUACCCAAGGAGGAAGCCCCGGCUAACUAAGUGCCAGCAGCCGCGGUAAUACGUAGGGUGCAGGCGUUAUCCGGACUUAUUGGGCUUAAAGAGUACGUAGGUGGCAAUCUAAGCGCAGGGUUUAAGGCAAUGGCUCAACCAUUGUUCGCCCUGCGUACUGGGAUGCUUGAGUGCAGGAGAGGAAAGCGGAAUUACUAGUGUAGCGGUGAAAUGCGGAGAUAUUAGGAGGAACACCAGUGGCGAAGGCGGCUUUCUGGACUGUAACUGACACUGAGGUACGAAAGCGUGGGGAGCAAACAGGAUUAGAUACCCCUGUAGUC